This 510-nucleotide ribosomal RNA is filed under the name uncultured bacterium. RNAcentral describes it as "partial 16S ribosomal RNA". It matches the Rfam family "Bacterial small subunit ribosomal RNA", at positions 28 to 507 of the family's 1533-position model. The record is from RNAcentral.
GACGAACGCUGGCGGCGUGCUUAACACAUGCAAGUCGAACGAAGAGCGAUGGAAGCUUGCUUCUAUCAAUCUUAGUGGCGAACGGGUGAGUAACGCGUAAUCAACCUGCCCUUCAGAGGGGGACAACAGUUGGAAACGACUGCUAAUACCGCAUACGAUCUAAUCUCGGCAUCGAGGAUAGAUGAAAGGUGGCCUCUACAUGUAAGCUAUCACUGAAGGAGGGGAUUGCGUCUGAUUAGCUAGUUGGAGGGGUAACGGCCCACCAAGGCGAUGAUCAGUAGCCGGGCUGAGAGGAGGAACGGCCACAUUGGGACUGAGACACGGCCCAGACGCCUACGGGAGGCAGCAGUGGGGAAUCUUCCGCAAUGGACGAAAGUCUGACGGAGCAACGCCGCGUGAGUGAUGACGGCCGUCGGGUUGUAAAGCUCGGUUAAUCGGGACGAAAGGCCUUCUUGCGAAUAGUGAGAAGGAUUGACGGUACCGGAAUAGAAAGCCACGGCUAACUACGUG